AGUGAACGCUGGCGGUAGGCCUAACACAUGCAAGUCGAACGGCAGCACAGUAAGAGCUUGCUCUUACGGGUGGCGAGUGGCGGACGGGUGAGGAAUACAUCGGAAUCUACUUUUUCGUGGGGGAUAACGUAGGGAAACUUACGCUAAUACCGCAUACGACCUACGGGUGAAAGCAGGGGAUCUUCGGACCUUGCGCGAUUGAAUGAGCCGAUGUCGGAUUAGCUAGUGGGCGGGGGAAAGGCCCACCCAGGCGACGAUCCGGAGCUGGGCUGAGAGGAUGAGGGGCACCACAGGAACGGGGCCACGGUCCAGCCCCCUCCGGGAGGCAGCAGUGGGGAAUGUUAGACAAUGGGAGGGAGCCUGACCCAGCCAUACCGCGUGGGUUAAGAAGGCCCUGGCGUUGUAAAGCCAUUCUGUUGGGAAAGAAAAGAAGCAUGUUAAUACCACGCUGUUCUGACGGUACCCAAAGAAUAAGCACCGGCUAACUUCGUG
Molecule: ribosomal RNA, 492 nt
Filed under: uncultured bacterium
Lineage: Bacteria
Description: partial 16S ribosomal RNA
Rfam family: Bacterial small subunit ribosomal RNA
Source: RNAcentral